AGCAAGCCCAAGAGGAUCAGUGGUUUAGACCACAGUACCACCUACAUCCAUAAGUGAGUGGAGAGGAACUACCAGCCAAUUUGCAGAAGCUUCUCUCGGUGAUUACCUGAGACCCAUCCUUUUCCAGCUCUUUACCUGCAUGGAUAGGCAGAGGAGAGGGAAGCGUCACUUACUCAAUUUUGGUCUGUCACAGAGCUGUUGAAGGACCACAAGCUUUGCCAGAAAAGUGUAACAAUAGGGGUGUUGAUUCAUUGGAAGCCUAGAUUGUGAUUGAAAUUCAUUCGUAUUUUAAAGAAGAAAAAGAAGAAGAAGAAGAGGAAGAAGAGGUUACACUAACAUUGUCAGUGCCUAAUAAGUCAUUAUUGUGCUUGGCAGAAGAAAAGCAAAUUACAACAGUUUAAUUGAAAACCUUAAGAGGUAAAAGAGAAGAAGACUGUUAACACAAUUUCAGCAAGACUCAAACAUCUCCUUUCUACCAAAGAACAAGUACUACAAAGGAGAGAAAUAGAUUUAAAAAUAAUCAUUAAUUGAGGUAAACUUGGCACAAAGAUGGCAGAAUUCUAAUUAACUUGCAACCUUUCCUAUCAUAACAUUCGGUUAGAGAGAUGGCACUGUUCUAUUUCCCCUUGUAAGCUAAUAUGUAGCUGAAGUAUAAAUUGACACUCCACAGCAUACAUAAAUUUUCUUUAUUCUGAACCAAAUUUAAUUUCUGCUAUGCUAUUUCUGGCAUCCUGAAAACAUCCAGUUGCCCCACCUGAACUUGACAUUUCCUACUUAGCUUGAGUUAAUUGGCUGUAGAGUGGGAAAAUCGUGUUAAUUGGGUCUGCGUCAUUGAAGAAAACAGUUCUAGAACAGGCCCACCUUACAAAGGGCUAUUGUAAAGUGCCAUAAGGCUCAGAUUGGAGGCUCAGGGAGCACAGCCCAGAUGCCUCAUUCUUUGUACCACUCUGUCCAAAGGGUGAUACUGCAGCUGCCAACAAAUCAGGCGACACAAGGGGCCAAAAGGGGUUCCACCAUAUUAUCCUGCUCUUCAGCUGGCAAGACUCCCAGAUCAGCUUACAUAAAAAUAUUUUUCAAAACACAAGUACUCAGUACAAACAACAGCAAUAUAAGCAGCAGAGCAGAAAAAUAUCCCAGCUAAAAACAAAAAAAGCUAUUGACUCGAAAAGGUUUGGUCUGGGCAAGUAAUUCACCUGACACCAAGGAAGAAAAGAAAGCAGACUUGGUACCACAUGGCCCUCUCUGGAGAGGGACUUCUAAAGAUGGGGCACUAUAAUCAACAACAACAACAACAACACCCUGUCACAGGUCACCACUCACCUUACUGUUGAUAGCUUUGAAGGACAAUUGUAGCGUUCAGGCAGCUUUUCGCAGAAGAAGGUGGUUCUAUAAAGUUGUUGACAAUGGCCUAGUCCUUAGUCUGAACAACUCAUCAUAAGGGCAAACCUGUGUUAGUACUGCCUGUCCACACCUACAAUUUUGAUCCCAUGCUUGCAUUCAGGAUUGUAGCUGAGGUGUGCAGCAACAGGACCAAGCCUGAAUUUUUUUGCCACCUCAUGCAAUAAAAGAGUUGUGCUGAGCGGAGAUCCCGCAUAAUAUUGUAUAAGAUGCUACGGAGCAGCUCCUGAAUUUGCAAAAAUUGUGGCUUAACAUCUUUGUGGCACAGAGGGGAGUCUGGGUGUGUGCGCGUUACACCUUUCAGAAUGCAUGCUGCUUUACUGGCACUGUUAAAAGCCCUGCCUCCUAAGAGACUGCUUGGCUUGUUUGUAUAGCUGCCCAGCCCUUGACAGCAAGGGAUAGCAGAUGGCUCCUACAGUAUUUCCAGCAGAGACCUUGGCCUACGCAACUUACUCAAGGAAAGUAUAAACAGCAAAUUAGCAAUUACUGCUAAGGUGCUGAGGUUACAGAUAGAGGAAAAAUCUAACCCAUACAAUUUUAGUCCUGCCGUAAAGUUCAUGCAAAUUUAUACCUUACCUUACUAAUGUUAAGAUUAUUCUCCUUAACCUUUUAUAACGUAUGUGGAGCAUGAAUAACUCUUUUCCAAGUAGUAACGGUGUUUGUUAUCUGUUGCUGCUCUGAACUAAUUUAGGCGCUGCUCCCAUAGCACUAAAGCACAAUAACAGAAGACAAGGUUUAAGGAUAUAGCAAGAACUUUGAUGGAUCAGAACCAAAGGCAUAUCUAGUUUGGCAUCCUCUUUCUCAAAGCAGCUGGCCAGAUGCCUAUAGGAAACCCACAGGCAGCACAGAAGGGCAAACACCCUCUCCCACUGUUCCUCCUUCUGCCUGCAACUGUCCAUGUUAUUUUGGACGGACAUUCCUGUACUUCCCUUUAUCCUGGCUGUUGACCGGCCCUUUCCCCCUUACCAUUCAGAGUUGCUUUGUUAUAUUUCUUUAAGUGUAAUUGUGCACACAUCCACCUAUCCCCACAUUUCUACUAGUUAUCUUUCUCCUCCUUGACUUUUAAAGAACCAUUUUGCAAACCCAUAGACAUUUAUUUUAUAUACCUUGUCUUUCCUUCAGCAUGUCUCUAUAAUGGAAAUAUCUGUAACCUAGUUCACAUUUAUUUUGGCAGAUACGUACUUUGAGAUCUCUCAGUAAAGCUGUUAUAUAAGAGAAACUAUGAUUGUGCAUUAAGCCAAACCAGAUGUCUAGUGAGAAGAGAAUAUUUGAAAUAAAAUGGGAUUGAAUGGUUCCCCUCCCCCUGCUACAUUGGUUCUUUCCUCUUUUCCUGAUUACUAUUAGUCUUGACAAUAAUGAUCUCAUCAA
Non-coding RNA from Podarcis muralis (Common wall lizard), 2766 nucleotides. NCBI's taxonomy places the organism in Eukaryota, Metazoa, Chordata, Lepidosauria, Squamata, Lacertidae. The record is from RefSeq and is a predicted model, not a curated record.